UUUUAUGGAGAGUUUGAUCCUGGCUCAGAGUGAACGCUGGCGGCGUGCCUAAUACAUGCAAGUCGAACGAUGAAGCUUCUAGCUUGCUAGAAGUGGAUUAGUGGCGCACGGGUGAGUAAGGUAUAGUUAAUCUGCCCUACACAAGAGGACAACAGUUGGAAACGACUGCUAAUACUCUAUACUCCUGCUUAACACAAGUUGAGUAGGGAAAGUUUUUCGGUGUAGGAUGAGACUAUAUAGUAUCAGCUAGUUGGUAAGGUA
Molecule: ribosomal RNA, 261 nt
Filed under: Campylobacter coli
Lineage: Bacteria; Pseudomonadati; Campylobacterota; Epsilonproteobacteria; Campylobacterales; Campylobacteraceae
Description: partial 16S ribosomal RNA
Rfam family: Bacterial small subunit ribosomal RNA
Source: RNAcentral